AUUGAACGCUGGCGGCAGGCCUAACACAUGCAAGUCGAGCGAGCGGCGGACGGGUGAGUAAUGUAUGGGGACUGCCCGAUAGAGGGGGAUAACUACUGGAAACGGUGGCUAAUACCGCAUACUAUCGGAUAACCCAUAUGGGAUUAGCUAGUAGGUGGGGUAAAGGCUCACCUAGGCGACGAGCUCUAGCUGGUCUGAGAGGAUGAUCAGCCAACCUGGAACGGGGACACGGCCCAGACUCCUACGGAGGCAGCAGUGGGGAAUGUUGCACAAUGGGCGCAAGCCUGAUGCAGCAAUGCCGCGUGUAUGAAGAAGGCCUUAGGGUUGUAAAGUACUUUCAGCGUGGAGGCGUUACCCACAGAAGAAGCAACGGCUAACUCCGUGCCAGCAGCCGCGGUAAUAC
Molecule: ribosomal RNA, 403 nt
Filed under: uncultured bacterium
Lineage: Bacteria
Description: partial 16S ribosomal RNA
Rfam family: Bacterial small subunit ribosomal RNA
Source: RNAcentral